RNAcentral lists this long non-coding RNA (449 nucleotides) under Phaseolus vulgaris (common bean). RNAcentral's name for it is "long non-coding RNA (PVUL_LNC000873)". The record is from RNAcentral. Lineage: Eukaryota; Viridiplantae; Streptophyta; Magnoliopsida; Fabales; Fabaceae.
AGAGAGAGAGAGAAGAGAAUUGGAGAGAGAGAGAGAAAAAGAAGAAAAAUGGUAUUGUGGUGUGAAGAAGAAUGUUUCUGUUGCUUUUAAAAAAAGCACGCUGUUACAUUAUCUCCAACUACAAAAAUUUUCGUCCUCGAAAAUGAACUUACCAAAAUAGAGAUUAGGGUAUGAUGCUCGUAUCUCCUCUUCAAUUUCCCAAGUGGAGUCUCCAGAUAUGAGAUCCCACAAUACUUUCAUCAUGGGAAUACUUCUUCCACGAAGUUGUUUCACUUGUGAAUCUAUAAUUCUGAUUGGCUUCACUUCAAAUGACAGAUUUUCUUUCACCUGGAUGGAAUCAGACUCUAGAAUGUGGCUAGGAUCAGGCACAUACUUUCGUAGCUGGGAUACAUGGAAAAUAUUGUGAAUGUUAGCUAAAGGAGGAGGCAAAGCAAUUUCAUAAGCCACAG